This is a long non-coding RNA of Clarias gariepinus (North African catfish), 336 nucleotides long. RefSeq lists it as uncharacterized. The record is from RefSeq and is a predicted model, not a curated record. The transcript has 3 exons. Lineage: Eukaryota; Metazoa; Chordata; Actinopteri; Siluriformes; Clariidae.
CAGUGCGAUCACCUGUGUUGAUCACAAUGCCUCUGGCAGAACCUGAGAACGAUAUUUCAGUCUCAACAUUUUAAGGCCUUCAUUGCAGAAAAGAAUACAAUGUUCCUUGUCUCUAGAGGAUUGUCAUUGGAGAAAUCAGGAGUACGUGUCUGAGGCUCAGAUUCACCAGUAAGGGAUGAAUUGUCCACCUGAAAAACCAGGGAGAGAUCAGUUUACAUGGGAUUACAUGCACCAGGUGGAAAGUUCAGCCACAGACAAGUGACCAACAGGAAGAUCAAGCAAAUCAGGCACCACAAUAAAUUUCACUGUGUUGUCUGUGUUUGAAUGAGUGUAAAA